This is a long non-coding RNA of Struthio camelus australis, 2981 nucleotides long. The record is from Ensembl. Lineage: Eukaryota; Metazoa; Chordata; Aves; Struthioniformes; Struthionidae.
AUGAAGAAAGAAGGGUGUCUAGAUAAACCAUACCAUACCAUACGCUGUAAACAUUUCUGUUGGCCUAACUGCAUUCGUCCGUGCCUUGCUCUGCCUCUCUGCACCAGUUCGUAUCUGGAUGCCAUCACUGGAGCAGUGAGCUACAGGAACCAUGAGCCUCCUUCCAUCUGUUUGGCACCUCCUUCCUCAGUGCAGUUGUUCUCGCGCUCCACAAACAUGAAUCCAAGGUUAUGUUCCUCCUUGCGCUGCGUGACUACGCUCCUGGGUUCACUGCCACUCUUCCUGCCACUUGGACAAUGUGGCAGCACCGCAUGAGUUAAAAGCCAUACAGAUUGCAAGGCAGACGUAUUUAUUACAAGAGCAGAUGCAGAAAGAGAAAAAGGAAUAGCAAAUUUACUUUGGCUCAUAGUUUGUUCAGCAGUCUAGGCUUUUAGCUCCUUUCACAUUCUAUGAGAUGAUUUACCAAAAUUAAACAAUUCAAACUGCUGAGACUAUAAGACACUUAUAAUCAAAUUUUCAUCAAUCUAAAAUUCUUGGAUUCAGGUCUUUAAAUCUUUUAAUUAUUAAAUUAAUAAUGUAGUUUUAUUUUAUUCUUUAAAUCUUUCAGGCCUUUUUCUUUUAAGUCUGUUCCCUUUGGGUGCACAUGAUGCUGAUGUCUAUGUUAUAAGAGGCCUUAAAGCAAAGACUGUGUUCCAAUUUGCUCUGCACUGAGCAAGGCAAUGCUCGUAUAUACGGUGUUCCUCUUUCACUUCUGCAACUGAACGUAUUUCAGUACCCUUCUAUGCGAUGCUGCUCAUCCUUCUGAAAGGAUGACGGCCUUUUCUUCAUCUAUUGGAAACACACUUCAAGGCAACAUCGCUACAGAGGUGCACAUAGAACUGCAAACUUGAAUCCUGUUACUAGUCGCCGCUCACUAAUCUUCUCUCCUUCCCCUUCCAGCGCCUGCACAGGAUUUCUAUAGAAAGGAGCCAGAAAGAGGGAGGCAUCUUGUUUUGUUACACAGCAAUGGUUCCCUGGGAAAAUCCAUUCCUCAGGGAAGCCCAGACUGGAAAAGCAGAUGGGAAUGACAUUCCAAAAUUGAGAAAAAAAUUAAACCUAUUAUCACUAGCACUGAUAGGAGGAAUGACAAACAUUUGCAAUUUGUCUCUGGCAACCGAGGCACCAUAAUGAUGAGGAGCAUGAGCUUUGCAAGCUGCUGGCUGCAUGAAAAACGUUUGGAAAAAGAGAGGAUAAGGAAGGAGAAGUCCAUGGAUCCUGUGAAUCUCUUUCAGCAGNNNNNNNNNNNNNNNNNNNNNNNNNNNNNNNNNNNCAGCAGGAGACCAGAAGGCAAAAAAAAAAGAGCUGAGAGAAUACAUGUGACAACUUGUGUAGCCUUCAGGCAAAUGUCUAGACUCAGAGAAGGAGUUUAGGAUAAGGAAAACAACAUACAGGAAAAUUUGCUGGAAAUUGUGCAGAAGGAAACAGACCUCUGAAGAAUGUUAGGAUGCUAUAUGCAUACCACUACUUCAAGAGCACCCUGGGGUUAACAAGAGCAGUGACAGCUUCCUGUAGGUUUCCAGAGGUUACUGUACCCUUUCCAGAAAACCGGAGUGAUUUCUGCUUUCAUUUGCAAAGACAGAUGCACUUAGCAUAUACGGUGUGUUGUGCCAGAAUCAGUAAAGAUUAUCCUGAAAAAAUUGACUGAGGCAUUCCACUAAAGUUCUCAUUUUCCCCUAAUAACAUCAAUUCGUAACAAAAACAUUAACAAAGACAAAUCUCUCUCCCUUUUCCACUGCUGUAUGCUUACCAUGAAGAAAGAGCAGGACAAAUCCCUGAUCCUGUUUCCCGGAGCAGUUUGGACACCUCCUCCCUCUCUCAUAGAUUUUGAACCAGACUUGGUUAACAUCUGUCACUUGCAGCAAAUAUUGAUCAGCUUGUUUGUAAGGCUCCUCCAGCUGCCCUUCAUUUUUGCCACAAAGCCCUUCAUUAUUAUUCUGUAGGUAGUCAGAACAGUCAUACCAUUCCUUCUCCAGUGCCUUGGCCCAGUAAAAGGCCUGAGAAGUAGAAAGAUGUCUGGGUCUCCCAGAGUGACAAAAGGAAGGACAUCAUUAACUUUCAUAGCCGUCCAGGGAGCAAUUGAUAUUUUGUUGCAGUAAAUAAGGCUGAAUUUCUAAAAAUCCUUUCAUCAACUAUUCCAAAACUUUUUUCAUUAAUAUUGGAAAACUUUCCAUAGUAAUCAAUGAGGCUUUGCAGAAUAUCCUUUUUCUGUUUAUGAAAACUGACUUUUGGUAUGCAAUAUAGGUACCCAAGUCCAACCAGUGGUUCCAACGUUAACUCAGGAACAUGAACUUUGCAAAUCUUGAAGUCAUUUUCUUGGUACCAGCACAAUGAAACACACACACAGAGUAUUUAUUUCCAGCAUACACUGACAUACCAGCACCAAUCCAGUUAGCAGCUAGCCAGCUGGAUUGCUGGCAACCACCAAGGCACCAAUGGUCACCCCAACACAGAGAUGUGCUGCUGUAUCAAUUUUAUCAAUGCUGACAAUCUAAACUGAGCUAGGCCUUUGGCAGCCAUUACCAUCCUGAAGUCCUAGCAGAAUUACUCUUCAUCCCAAGCAUGGUUUCCUCCUUCUCUGCCAGUAUCAGUGCGCCACCACCACAUCUCUUUCCAAUCCCUUCCCAAGACUUUCCACUGCGUUACCAACCUGUUUGUAUUAAGGGUGGCUGGAACUGCGGAGCUCUGCCAUGUUUUCUCCAUAUAGCCAUUUGAAGUGGUGUUGACUAACAACAGGAGGAAUCAUGCAAGUAGAUUGGUUUCACCCCAAAUUGCAGAAUUCUGGUAGGUUCCUAUAUCUUCUUCCACAAGACACCAACUGUAGGACAUCUCACCAGAGAGUACCUUCCCAGCACAUACUGAGAGUUAAUACAGGACAGCGUGUAUGUAAAGAAUCACAGGGAAAUUGUAACUGAGUCAAAAUAAAUAAAUCAUACAGGUAUACA